This 484-nucleotide ribosomal RNA is filed under the name uncultured bacterium. Its description in RNAcentral is "partial 16S ribosomal RNA". It matches the Rfam family "Bacterial small subunit ribosomal RNA", at positions 30 to 507 of the family's 1533-position model. The record is from RNAcentral.
AUUGAACGCUGGCGGCAGGCCUAACACAUGCAAGUCGAGCGGAUGAAGGGAGCUUGCUCCUGGAUGCAGCGGCGGACGGGUGAGUAAGGCCUAGGAAUCUGCCUUGUAUUGGGGGAUAACGUCCGGAAACGGGCGCUAAUACCGCAUACGUCCUUAGUGAGAAAGGGGGGGAUCUUCGGACCUCACGCUAUCAGAUGAGCCUAGGUCGGAUUAGCUAGUUGGUUGGGUAAAGGCCUACCAAGGCGACGAUCCGUAACUGGUCUGAGAGGAUGAUCAGUCACACUGGAACUGAGACACGGUCCAGACUCCUACGGGAGGCAGCAGUGGGGAAUAUUGGACAAUGGGCGAAAGCCUGAUCCAGCAAUGCCGCGUGUGUGAAGAAGGUCUUCGGAUUGUAAAGCACUUUAAGUUGGGAGGAAGGGAAGUAAGUUAAUACCUUGCUGUUUUGACGUUACCAACAGAAUAAGCACCGGCUAACUUCGUG